UGGGGAUAUCCCAUGCAUAGUUUGUAGAGUUUUAGAUCGAAUUCUUAAGUUUUAAUCUUGCUACUUCAAGUGAUUGAUUCAAGUUUGUCUUCGUUUCAAUUUCGCGAGAACAAUAGAAAGCAAAGAACAACACAAGAAACUUUGUUCAUCCGGUGUUCGCUGAUCUACUCACCGGGGAGGGAGACUGUAUCCCUCAACUGCUUCACUAUCAAUCGAUGAUCAAGGUUUCAAGGCUACAAACAAUGGCUAAUUGCUUGAACCAAAACAAAGCUAUAAGAGAGAGUUAGCAAGUUUAUCACUUCCUUUAUGAAGCCGGAAAGUCACCGCCGAAAUGAUCCACAACCUGAUCGUGUACUGCUUCCGUGACUCCGUCGAACUCCAAUCUCGUGAUCUCAAGCUAAGUCUUCU
This 408-nucleotide long non-coding RNA is filed under the name Brassica napus (rape). RNAcentral's name for it is "long non-coding RNA (BNAP_LNC010405)". Lineage: Eukaryota; Viridiplantae; Streptophyta; Magnoliopsida; Brassicales; Brassicaceae. The record is from RNAcentral.